This 253-nucleotide ribosomal RNA is filed under the name uncultured bacterium. RNAcentral's name for it is "partial 16S ribosomal RNA". It matches the Rfam family "Bacterial small subunit ribosomal RNA", at positions 524 to 776 of the family's 1533-position model. The record is from RNAcentral.
UACGUAGGGGGCUAGCGUUGUUCGGAAUUACUGGGCGUAAAGCGCGUGUAGGCGGUUGCCAAAGUCGGGUGUGAAAGCCUUGAGCUCAACUCAAGAAUUGCACUCGAUACUUGGUGACUAGAGGACCGGAGAGGAUAGUGGAAUUCCCAGUGUAGUGGUGAAAUACGUAGAGAUUGGGAAGAACACCAGUGGCGAAGGCGGCUAUCUGGACGGUUUCUGACGCUAAGACGCGAAAGCGUGGGGAGCAAACAGG